GUAGGUGGCAAGCGUUGUCCGGAAUUAUUGGGCGUAAAGCGCGCGCAGGCGGUCCUUUAAGUCUGAUGUGAAAGCCCACGGCUCAACCGUGGAGGGUCAUUGGAAACUGGAGAACUUGAGUACAGAAGAGGAAAGCGGAAUUCCACGUGUAGCGGUGAAAUGCGUAGAGAUGUGGAGGAACACCAGUGGCGAAGGCGGCUUUCUGGUCUGUAACUGACGCUGAGGCGCGAAAGCGUGGGGAGCAAACAGGAUUAGAUACCCUGGUAGUCCACGCCGUAAACGAUGAGUGCUAAGUGUUAGGGGGUUUCCGCCCCCCUUAGUGCUGCAGCUAACGCACUAAGCACUCCGCCUGGGAGUACGGCCGCAAGGCUG
RNAcentral lists this ribosomal RNA (372 nucleotides) under uncultured organism. Its description in RNAcentral is "partial 16S ribosomal RNA". It matches the Rfam family "Bacterial small subunit ribosomal RNA", at positions 527 to 896 of the family's 1533-position model. The record is from RNAcentral.